UACGUAGGUGGCAAGCGUUGUCCGGAAUUAUUGGGCGUAAAGCGCGCGCAGGCGGUCUUUUAAGUCUGAUGUGAAAGCCCACGGCUUAACCGUGGAGGGUCAUUGGAAACUGGAGGACUUGAGUGCAGAAGAGGAGAGUGGAAUUCCACGUGUAGCGGUGAAAUGCGUAGAGAUGUGGAGGAACACCAGUGGCGAAGGCGACUCUCUGGUCUGUAACUGACGCUGAGGCGCGAAAGCGUGGGUAGCGAACAGA
Molecule: ribosomal RNA, 253 nt
Filed under: uncultured bacterium
Lineage: Bacteria
Description: partial 16S ribosomal RNA
Rfam family: Bacterial small subunit ribosomal RNA
Source: RNAcentral